This is a long non-coding RNA of Mytilus californianus (California mussel), 1232 nucleotides long. RefSeq lists it as uncharacterized. The record is from RefSeq and is a predicted model, not a curated record. The transcript is spliced from 3 exons. NCBI's taxonomy places the organism in Eukaryota, Metazoa, Mollusca, Bivalvia, Mytilida, Mytilidae.
ACAGAAACGGUUCGCAUUUUGGUAACUGAAUAUGCUUUGUUAUUUGAAACUCUGCUAAUAGUGAUCUGUAUGUGUUGGUGUGGAUUAAAAGCCUUGAAGAAAAGACAAUGCAGAAACAACAAUAGGGUUACUCCAUCACAAAGGAAUGAAGAACCAUCCGUUAGAGCUCAUUAUGAUGAAAUUAAUAGCAUAUAUUAUAAUCCAAUUAAUGUUACCAUCUCUCAGCAAAGUACUAGCAGCAAUGCACAAUUUGGGAAUUGUCAACCAUCAAUCAGCAAUGCAAAUUUUAAAAACAAUGAAUCCGAUUCAAAUAACAGUUCAAAUCAACUUAUAACUACUGGUAAAGUCGAUCAGCUAAUAUAUAGUCACAGGAAUUCAUCAAGAUCAUCAACAGAUGAAUCUUACGUCGUCCCAUGUAGAACAUAUAUUGAUUUUGAAAAUGCUAUUACAAACGAAAAUUACGAAUCAAAUAUCGACGAACCAGAAAUACCCGUAGAAGAGUCCUCUAUUUCAAGUAACAACAGUGAAAUAAAUAUGAAGUGUAUUCGAAGAUACGAAACACUAAAUGUAACUGAUAGAAAAGAACAUUAUUAUGAUGACUGUAAUAAGAGUGAAACAUAAUAGAACAAACUACGUCGAAAACCUUCCGAAAACGUUUUUUAUUGUUAUUUUCUUACAAAUAUUUAGCAUGUUUAAGGUAUGCCUGCAUUUGUUUAUUUGUGGAAAUGCGGAUCAGACAGCUAUUUUUAUUUUUUCUUGUAAUUGUUUUAGCUCUGUUUGAUAUGUUUCCGUUAAUAAUGCUAAUAUCUGAUUAGAAGAAGACAUUGGUAUACGUCAAUGAGACAUCUAGUCUACGAGAAAGAAUACAUUGGAAAACCAACAUCUUGCACAAUAGACAGUGUCUAUAUAAUAUGUCAGGCUAGAAAUCUUCCCGAUCGCGAGUACAUAAAAUAUAUGAAAUAAACAGAAACUAUCAAAAGUCUGCCAUAAACACCAUAUGAUUGUUUUUAAUUUUUAAUUACAUUUCUAAAAAUCUACAUACACAUAUUAUAACACAGGGGGUUUGCACUCCUACAAAUUGAAUUUUCAAAUGAUUUUUUGUUUUCAUUUUUAUUUAUUUCUUAACACUCAAGGCGAAGACCUUGCAAAACAAAACAUUAGUUGCUGCAAUUAUUCUGUUGAUUAUUGAAGACAAGCAUGUAAUUCAUUUGAAAAUAAAAAUAUGAAGUCUU